Helianthus annuus (common sunflower) is the source of this 1876-nucleotide long non-coding RNA. RefSeq lists it as uncharacterized. The record is from RefSeq and is a predicted model, not a curated record. NCBI's taxonomy places the organism in Eukaryota, Viridiplantae, Streptophyta, Magnoliopsida, Asterales, Asteraceae. The transcript has 3 exons.
CUCUCAACCCAAUCCAAAAAUUUGAGCUCCCCCCAAAAUUUUCUAAAAGCAAACAAAUCCACAACCCUAGCUCUCAUCCCACAAGUUUGCAAAACCACCGUUUCAAUUUUCUAAUCAAAUCACCCCCAAAAUCGAUCAUCAAAUACUACUCGCACCAAAAGCACAAUGACGGAUCUGAAACCGAACGUCCAACCAUCAUCUUUCUCUGGCAAGAUCUUCACAUGCUGCUGUAGUUCAAUCGUUCUCUAUUUAAAAUCAAUUCCAGUAAAAGAAUAAUCGGCGGUUUUGAAUAAUGGUUCAGAUUCGAAGGUUUCGACAUCAAUACGGCUUCGAGCGACCUGAGGCGCCACACUCACUACGAAACAGUCACCUUCAAUCGUACACUUCUUCUUCUUCUUCUUCUUAUCUUCUUUUUCUAUAUUUCGAUCUUCACAGCUAGUGAAGCUGGUGAAGAACUCUGUCAUGAAAAGACUCUGAAUUUUGAAGAUUUUAGAUGCAAAACUAGUGCUCUCGUGGUGGCCAUGGGUAUUUAAGUUCCACAUUUAGUGGGUCCGGGUGAGUUUUCCCCUCCAGGUCUCAAGUUCGAGUCUGGGUGAUAGGGGUUUCUCAUUGAGAGGUUUAAAUUGGGGAUUUAUUGUGCGAGGAGGCUCUCUAGCGCGGACCCGGUUAAGACAACGUAUGCUAGACCUCCCAAUGAGUGCCAAUUGUUUUUAAGACUUGACUUUUAGUAGUUUUCAUCAUAUCGCCUGCAAUAUUCAAGAACUUCUUCUUAGGUACGACUUUCAUUCAUAACUUUUGAUAGUUUUUACUUAUGAGAUUGAAUUCUUGAAUGUUUUCAGUAGAUAAAAUGUUGUAAAUUAUAAAGCUGCUUUAAUUAUGAAUGCAUGGUGGUUUGAUUCUUGUUCCUAGGUGACUUCAAUAACUCGUGAACUACUAUGUUUAUAUUUUUAGUUUUUCAGUUUUUGUUAGGAUAAUCUUGAAGCAUUAGUUUUACUGAUCUAACGCAGCAUUAGUAUCGUGAACUAUAUAAAUUUUCAGUUACGCUUGUCGAUUGUAUAUGUAGUUAGUCGAUGUAAGAUAAGUAUUACAUAGCUUGUCGAUUUGUUUAAUUUAUUUUCUAGUGUUUAUAAUGACUUGAAUUAAACAUAAAUUCAAAUGUAAUGUGAUCAGAAAAUAAAUUGUUUACUUACUCUGUUUAUGUUUGUUUAUGAGUUCAGGGAGUUGAAUUUGAAGCCAAAUUCGGGAAGCUUGUUGAACUCGGGUUCAGCAGAGAUGCAGUUAUACAUUAGUAAAAGCACGUGAAUCAACUAUUUUCGUUUUGGUUUUUUCUUGUGAUGCAGUUUUGAUUUAUUUGCCAACAAGUUUAUUAUGGGUACUAUUGAUUCUUGGUCUAUCCUGCAGGUUGAUCCAAAAUUUGAUUUGGAUAUUAAUUAAGAUGAUGUGGAAGACGAGUGUUCCAACUAUAGACGGGUCAAGCCCUUUAUCUCAGUAUACUUGGAUGAACAUCUGUUAGAUGUGCAAAUUACUAUAGCAUGGGGUCUACAAGUAGCAUGAAUAAAACACUUGGGAGGAUUAUACAACAUUAGAACCAGUCGCCAGUUACAAGUUUACUCCCCACCACAACAUCGGUAAUGUGGCCACGAACCCAUGGAUGCAAAUUUGCAGCACUUUUAGGUCUAAAACAGUGAUUAUAUGGACUUGAAGAAAACAGUCUCGAAAUAGUUUCUAGUUUAUAUGUAAAGUCAUUUUUCUGUGUAACAUUUGUAGAUAGGUUUUUAUUAGAAGUUAAUGUUUAUAAUUAGUAUUAGUAUUUAAAUUCAAAACUUGUGUAUGGAUUUUGGGUUAUUAUUGUUAAAAAUCAUUUCGUUUUUUGGUU